GCCCAUGUGUAGAGGUACGUAAUGUUGUUGCUGUUUUAGCGAUGGGCUAUCUGCGCUCUGUCUUCAAUGAGAAGAACGUCAUUAGAACAGUUGACCAAUUCCUUUUGAGCGUAUCCGUGUGUUUAGACAAGAGUGAAAGGAAAAGAUCUGGGGUGGAAAGGGCGUAGAGUUAAGUGGGCAAGGAGGAGUGCAGAAUUACAUCACCAGAAGAUCCAAAAAGACAAUCUUCUAAAAGAUGUCAGGAACUGAAGAAAACAA
Molecule: long non-coding RNA, 258 nt
Organism: Limulus polyphemus (Atlantic horseshoe crab)
Lineage: Eukaryota; Metazoa; Arthropoda; Merostomata; Xiphosura; Limulidae
Exons: 2
Source: RefSeq, a predicted model, not a curated record